RNAcentral lists this ribosomal RNA (253 nucleotides) under uncultured bacterium. RNAcentral's name for it is "partial 16S ribosomal RNA". It matches the Rfam family "Bacterial small subunit ribosomal RNA", at positions 524 to 776 of the family's 1533-position model. The record is from RNAcentral.
GACGAACCGUCCAAACGUUAUUCGGAAUUACUGGGCUUAAAGGGUUCGUAGGCGGCCUUGUAAGUGAGAUGUGAAAUCCCACGGCUCAACCGUGGAAGUGCAUUUCAUACUGCAAGGCUUGAGGGAGACAGAGGUAAGCGGAACUGAUGGUGGAGCGGUGAAAUGCGUUGAUAUCAUCGGGAACACCGGUGGCGAAAGCGGCUUACUGGGUCUCUUCUGACGCUGAGGAACGAAAGCCAGGGGAGCGAACGGG